GACGAACGCUGGCGGCGUGCUUAACACAUGCCAGUCGAACGAAGAGCGAUGGAAGCUUGCUUCUAUCAAUCUUAGUGGCGAACGGGUGAGUAACGCGUAAUCAACCUGCCCUUCAGAGGGGGACAACAGUUGGAAACGACUGCUAAUACCGCAUACGAUCCAAUAUCGGCAUCGGGACUGGAUGAAAGGUGGCCUCUAUUUAUAAGCUAUCACUGAAGGAGGGGAUUGCGUCUGAUUAGCUAGUUGGAGGGGUAACGGCCCACCAAGGCGAUGAUCAGUAGCCGGUCUGAGAGGAUGAACGGCCACAUUGGGACUGAGACACGGCCCAGACUCCUACGGGAGGCAGCAGUGGGGAAUCUUCCGCAAUGGACGAAAGUCUGACGGAGCAACGCCGCGUGAGUGAUGACGGCCUUCGGGUUGUAAAGCUCUGUUAAUCGGGACGAAUGGUUCUUGUGCGAAUAGUGCGAGGAUUUGACGGUACCGGAAUAGAAAGCCACGGCUAACUACGUG
Molecule: ribosomal RNA, 510 nt
Filed under: uncultured bacterium
Lineage: Bacteria
Description: partial 16S ribosomal RNA
Rfam family: Bacterial small subunit ribosomal RNA
Source: RNAcentral